GCGUUGUCCGGAAUUAUUGGGCGUAAAGAGCUCGUAGGUGGUUCGUCACGUCGGAUGUGAAACUCUGGGGCUUAACCCCAGACCUGCAUUCGAUACGGGGGUGCUUGAGUAUGGUAGGGGAGUCUGGAAUUCCUGGUGUAGCGGUGGAAUGCGCAGAUAUCAGGAGGAACACCAAUGGCGAAGGCAGGACUCUGGGCCAUUAUUGACACUGAGGAGCGAAAGCGUG
This 226-nucleotide ribosomal RNA is filed under the name uncultured bacterium. RNAcentral describes it as "partial 16S ribosomal RNA". It matches the Rfam family "Bacterial small subunit ribosomal RNA", at positions 538 to 763 of the family's 1533-position model. The record is from RNAcentral.